Molecule: ribosomal RNA, 464 nt
Filed under: uncultured bacterium
Lineage: Bacteria
Description: partial 16S ribosomal RNA
Rfam family: Bacterial small subunit ribosomal RNA
Source: RNAcentral
CUACGGGCCGCUGCAGUGGGGAAUAUUGCACAAUGGGCGCAAGCCUGAUGCAGCCAUGCCGCGUGUAUAAAGAAGGCCUUCGGGUUGUAAAGUACUUUCAGCGGGGAGGAAGGGAGUAAAGUUAAUACCUUUGCUCAUUGACGUUGCCCGCAGAAGAAGCACCGGCUAACUCCGUGCCAGCAGCCGCGGUAAUACGGAGGGUGCAAGCGUUAAUCGGAAUUACUGGGCGUAAAGCGCACGCAGGCGGUUUGUUAAGUCAGAUGUGAAAUCCCCGGGCUCAACCUGGGAACUGCAUCUGAUACUGGCGAGCUUGAGUCUCGUAGGGGGGGGUAGAAUUCCAGGUGUAGCGGUGAAAUGCGUAGAGAUCUGGAGGAAUACCGGUGGCGAAGGCGGCCCCCUGGACGAAGACUGACGCUCAGGUGCGAAAGCGUGGGGAGCAAACAGGAUUAGAUACCCUUGUAGUC